AGUGAACGCUGGCGGCGUGCUUAACACAUGCAAGUCGAGCGAAGCCUUCGGGCUUAGCGGCGGACGGGUGAGUAACGCGUGGGAACGUGCCCUUUGGUACGGAAUAGCCCCGGGAAACUGGGAGUAAUACCGUAUGUGGUCGAGAGACGAAAGAUUUAUCGCCAAAGGAUCGGCCCGCGUUGGAUUAGGUAGUUGGUGGGGUAAUGGCCUACCAAGCCGACGAUCCAUAGCUGGUUUGAGAGGAUGAUCAGCCACACUGGGACUGAGACACGGCCCUGACUCCUACGGGAGGCAGCAGUGUCAAUCUUAGACAAUGGGGGAAACCCUGAUCUAGCCAUGCCGCGUGAUCGAUGAAGGCCUUAGGGUUGUAAAGAUCUUUCAGUGGGGAAGAUAAUGACUGUACCCACAGAAGAAGCCCCGGCUAACUCCGUGCCAGCCGCCGCAGUAA
RNAcentral lists this ribosomal RNA (448 nucleotides) under uncultured bacterium. RNAcentral's name for it is "partial 16S ribosomal RNA". It matches the Rfam family "Bacterial small subunit ribosomal RNA", at positions 29 to 523 of the family's 1533-position model. The record is from RNAcentral.